Molecule: unclassified non-coding RNA, 280 nt
Filed under: uncultured fungus
Lineage: Eukaryota; Fungi
Description: partial contains 5.8S ribosomal RNA, internal transcribed spacer 2, and large subunit ribosomal RNA
Rfam family: 5.8S ribosomal RNA (bases 1-52)
Source: RNAcentral
AACGCACAUUGCGCCCUUUGGUAUUCCGAAGGGCAUGCCUGUUCGAGCGUCAUUAUCAACCCUCAAACCCUCGUUUGGUUUGGCUUUGGACGGCGUGGUCGGUUCGACCACCCCUCCUAAAGACAAUGACGGCGGCCUCGUGGACCCCCGGUACACUGAGCUUCUUAACUGAGCACGUAUCGGAUCUAGGGUACCCGAGACCCGGUCUCCCUCCCCCUCGUGGGAGAAAUCUUCUCAAAAGGUUGACCUCGGAUCAGGUAGGAAUACCCGCUGAACUUAA